GAUGAACGCUGGCGGCGUGCCUAAUACAUGCAAGUCGAGCGAACAGAUGAGGAGCUUGCUCCUCUGACGUUAGCGGCGGACGGGUGAGUAACACGUGGAUAACCUACCUAUAAGACUGGGAUAACUUCGGGAAACCGGAGCUAAUACCGGAUAAUAUAUUGAACCGCAUGGUUCAAUAGUGAAAGACGGUUUUGCUGUCACUUAUAGAUGGAUCCGCGCCGCAUUAGCUAGUUGGUAAGGUAACGGCUUACCAAGGCAACGAUGCGUAGCCGACCUGAGAGGGGGAUGGGCCACACUGGACCUGAGAACCGGUCAAGAUUCCUACGGGAGGAAGCAGUAGGGAAUCUUCCGCAAUGGGCGAAAGCCUGACGGAGCAACGCCGCGUGAGUGAUGAAGGUCUUCGGAUCGUAAAACUCUGUUAUUAGGGAAGAACAAAUGUGUAAGUAACUAUGCACGUCUUGACGGUACCUAAUCAGAAAGCCACGGCUACUACGUG
RNAcentral lists this ribosomal RNA (496 nucleotides) under uncultured bacterium. RNAcentral describes it as "partial 16S ribosomal RNA". It matches the Rfam family "Bacterial small subunit ribosomal RNA", at positions 28 to 507 of the family's 1533-position model. The record is from RNAcentral.